Molecule: ribosomal RNA, 457 nt
Filed under: uncultured bacterium
Lineage: Bacteria
Description: bacterial SSU rRNA
Rfam family: Bacterial small subunit ribosomal RNA
Source: RNAcentral
AUUGAACGCUGGCGGCAGGCCUAACACAUGCAAGUCGAGCGGAUGAGUGGAGCUUGCUCCAUGAUUCAGCGGCGGACGGGUGAGUAAUGCCUAGGAAUCUGCCUGGUAGUGGGGGACAACGUUUCGAAAGGAACGCUAAUACCGCAUACGUCCUACGGGAGAAAGCAGGGGGACCUUCGGGCCUUGCGCUAUCAGAUGAGCCUAGGUCGGAUUAGCUAGUAGGUGAGGUAAUGGCUCACCUAGGCGACGAUCCGUAACUGGUCUGAGAGGAUGAUCAGUCACACUGGAACUGAGACACGGUCCAGACUCCUACGGGAGGCAGCAGUGGGAAUAUUGGACAAUGGGCGAAAGCCUGAUCCAGCCGAUGCCGCGUGUGUGAAGAAGGUCUUCGGAUUGUAAAGCACUUUAAGUUGGGAGGAAGGGCAGUAAGUAAUACCUUGCUGUUUGACGUUACCAA